CUCUUAAGGUAGCGUAGUACCUUGCCGCUUCAGUAGCGGCUUGCAUGAAUGGAUUAACGAGAGCGUCGCUGUCCCAACGUUGGGCCCGGUGAACCAUACGUUCCAGUGCGGAGUCUGGAGACACCCAGGGGGAAGCGAAGACCCUAUGGAGCUUUACUGCAAGCUGUCGCUGGGACAUGGUCGCUGAUGUGCAGGAUAGGUAGGAGACACUACACAGGUGCGUGCGCCAGCACGUCGCCGAGUCAACACUGAAAUACUACCCGUCAGUGACUGUGACCCUCACUCCGGGAGGAGGACACCGAUAGCUGGGCAGUUUGACUGGGGCGGUACGCGCUCGAAAAGAUAUCGAGCGCGCCCUAAGUCCAUCUCAGUCGGGACAGAGACCCGACGGAGAGUGUAAGAGCAAAAGAUGGAUUGACAGUGAUCUUCCCAACGAGGAUCGCUGACGCGAAAGCGUGGUCUAGCGAACCAAUGAGCCUGCCCGAUGCGGGCCAUUGAUGACAGAAAAGCUACCCUAGGGAUAACAGAGUCGUCACGCGCAAGAGCACAUAUCGACCGCGUGGCUUGCUACCUCGAUGUCGGUUCCCUCCAUCCUGCCCGUGCAGACGCGGGCGUGAGCUGGGUUUAGACCGUCGUGAGACAGGUCGGCUGCUAUCUACUGGGUGUGUUUGACGCUUGACAGGAACGACCGUAUAGUACGAGAGGAACUACGGUUGGGUGCCACUGGUUUACCAGUUGUCCGAGAGGGCACUGCUGGGCAGCUACGCACCACGGGGUAACGGCUGAAUGCAUCUAAGCCGGAAACCCACCUGGAAAAGAAGCGUCGCCGAGGUCUCUCGUAGAAGACGAGAUCGAUAGACUCGGGGUGUACGCGUCGAGGCAACGAGACGUUCAGCCCGCGAGCACUAACCGACCGAAGCCACCAAUCU
RNAcentral lists this ribosomal RNA (929 nucleotides) under Natronomonas sp. Its description in RNAcentral is "partial 23S ribosomal RNA". It matches the Rfam family "Archaeal large subunit ribosomal RNA", at positions 2025 to 2987 of the family's 2987-position model. Lineage: Archaea; Methanobacteriati; Methanobacteriota; Halobacteria; Halobacteriales; Natronomonadaceae. The record is from RNAcentral.